GGCCCUCGAAAUCCUGUGGCGAGAGGAUUCAGUCCGGGACAAGAAGGACGUGCGUGUCGGAAAAACCGAGCAGGGCUUCUCCUCACGGAGGCCGUCCGACUGCACGCUUCCGAGGUCUCGGACGCACUUGUCUCUCGUCCGAAGGACGCCGCAGCCGGUCUGGCAGCGCAAGCGUGACGGCCUGAGGGUCGGGAAAUGGCAGGUGGCCGGUGGGCAGUCUAGGCUGUCGGCCGGUUUUAGCCGUCCCGACAGUGGCACGUCGCCAGACCGAGGUAUCACGAGGCCCCCAGGGGCUUCACCACCUCCUCCUGACAACGGGAUGCGAGACAGAUCGAUGCAGGCGAACUCCACCGCCCCGUUGCACUCCUUCGGAGUGGACGGGCGGCAAAGGAGGGCACCGCUGGCGUCGACGGGCUCGUUGGAGGUCGGUGGCUCGCGGCGAGUAGGUCGGUCACCCACCCGACCCGUCUUGAAACACGGACCAAGGAGUCUAACAUGUGCGCGAGUCAAUGGGUCUUGAACAGGCCCAGAGGCGCAAUGAAAGC
This 545-nucleotide ribosomal RNA is filed under the name Liophrurillus flavitarsis. RNAcentral describes it as "partial large subunit ribosomal RNA". Lineage: Eukaryota; Metazoa; Arthropoda; Arachnida; Araneae; Corinnidae. The record is from RNAcentral.